CAGAAACCUGCUCUAUCCCUUGCAAAAAUAAAAAAUGUGGCAAAAACUGCAUCGUUUCUAGGGCUCUCGAAAAUUUGAAAGUUUUCAUAUGAGAGGGUAAUGAAAUUGCAGAAGCGGGAAAUUACAGUUGACGGGCAAGGUGAGUCGUAGCAUGGUCACGCACAUAACAGCGGUAACUGUUGCUCCAGAGUAUUGGAGGCAGCAGCUUGCGAAGAAGCUCAUGAACCUCCUUGAAGGCUUCAGCGAUAAGAUGUGAAAAAGAAUUCAGGUUCAGGUGACAUUGGUGGUACAAAGGAGCCUCUUCUUCAUGGGGUGCA
Rosa chinensis is the source of this 317-nucleotide long non-coding RNA. RefSeq lists it as uncharacterized. The transcript is spliced from 3 exons. The record is from RefSeq and is a predicted model, not a curated record. Lineage: Eukaryota; Viridiplantae; Streptophyta; Magnoliopsida; Rosales; Rosaceae.